Molecule: ribosomal RNA, 564 nt
Filed under: uncultured bacterium
Lineage: Bacteria
Description: bacterial SSU rRNA
Rfam family: Bacterial small subunit ribosomal RNA
Source: RNAcentral
CCUACGGGAGGCAGCAGUGGGGAAUUUUCCGCAAUGGGCGAAAGCCUGACGGAGCAACGCCGCGUGAGGGAUGAAGGCCUCUGGGCUGUAAACCUCUUUUAUCAAGGAAGAAGAUCUGACGGUACUUGAUGAAUAAGCCACGGCUAAUUCCGUGCCAGCAGCCGCGGUAAUACGGGAGUGGCAAGCGUUAUCCGGAAUUAUUGGGCGUAAAGCGUCCGCAGGCGGUCUUGUAAGUCUGUCGUUAAAGCGUGGAGCUCAACUCCAUUUCGGCGGUGGAAACUACAAGACUAGAGUGUGGUAGGGGCAGAGGGAAUUCCCGGUGUAGCGGUGAAAUGCGUAGAUAUCGGGAAGAACACCAGUGGCGAAGGCGCUCUGCUGGGCCAUAACUGACGCUCAUGGACGAAAGCUAGGGGAGCGAAAGGGAUUAGAUACCCCUGUAGUCCUAGCCGUAAACGAUGAACACUAGGUGUCGGGGGAAUCGACCCCCUCGGUGUCGUAGCUAACGCGUUAAGUGUUCCGCCUGGGGAGUACGCACGCAAGUGUGAAACUUAAAUGAAUUGACGG